CACUCCUACGGGAGGCAGCAGUGAGGAAUAUUGCACAAUGGGCGCAAGCCUGAUGCAGCCAUGCCGCGUGUAUGAAGAAGGCCUUCGGGUUGUAAAGUACUUUCAGCGGGGAGGAAGGCGAUAAGGUUAAUAACCUUGUCGAUUGACGUUACCCGCAGAAGAAGCACUGGCUAACUCCGUGCCAGCAGCCGCGGUAAUACGGAGGGUGCAAGCGUUAAUCGGAAUUACUGGGCGUAAAGCGCACGCAGGCGGUCUGUCAAGUCGGAUGUGAAAUCCCCGGGCUCAACCUGGGAACUGCAUUCGAAACUGGCAGGCUAGAGUCUUGUAGAGGGGGGUAGAAUUCCAGGUGUAGCGGUGAAAUGCGUAGAGAUCUGGAGGAAUACCGGUGGCGAAGGCGGCCCCCUGGACAAAGACUGACGCUCAGGUGCGAAAGCGUGGGGAGCAAACAGGAUUAGAAACCCCGUAGUCCCAUGAU
Molecule: ribosomal RNA, 475 nt
Filed under: uncultured organism
Description: partial 16S ribosomal RNA
Rfam family: Bacterial small subunit ribosomal RNA
Source: RNAcentral